UACAGAGGGUGCAAGCGUUAAUCGGAAUUACUGGGCGUAAAGCGUGCGUAGACGGUUGCGUAAGUCAGAUGUGAAAGCCCCGGGCUCAACCUGGGAAUUGCAUUUGAGACUGCGUAGCUAGGGUGCGGAAGAGGGAAGCGGAAUUUCCGGUGUAGCGGUGAAAUGCGUAGAUAUCGGAAGGAACACCAGUGGCGAAAGCGGCUUCCUGGUCCAGCACCGACGUUCAGGCACGAAAGCGUGGUGAGCAAACAGG
RNAcentral lists this ribosomal RNA (253 nucleotides) under uncultured bacterium. RNAcentral describes it as "partial 16S ribosomal RNA". It matches the Rfam family "Bacterial small subunit ribosomal RNA", at positions 524 to 776 of the family's 1533-position model. The record is from RNAcentral.